This 460-nucleotide ribosomal RNA is filed under the name uncultured bacterium. RNAcentral describes it as "partial 16S ribosomal RNA". It matches the Rfam family "Bacterial small subunit ribosomal RNA", at positions 338 to 795 of the family's 1533-position model. The record is from RNAcentral.
CCUACGGGUGGCAGCAGUGAGGAAUAUUGGUCAAUGGACGAGAGUCUGAACCAGCCAAGUAGCGUGAAGGAUGACUGCCCUAUGGGUUGUAAACUUCUUUUAUAUGGGAAUAAAAUGUUCCACGUGUGGGAUUUUGUAUGUAACAUAUGAAUAAGGAUCGGCUAACUCCGUGCCAGCAGCCGCGGUAAUACGGAGGCUCCGAGCGUUAUCCGGAUUUAUUGGGUUUAAAGGGAGCGUAGGUGGAUUGUUAAGUCAGUUGUGAAAGUUUGCGGCUCAACCGUAAAAUUGCAGUUGAAACUGGCAGUCUUGAGUGCAGGAGAGGUGUGCGGAAUUCGUGGUGUAGCGGUGAAAUGCUUAGAUAUCACGAAGAACUCCGAUUGCGAAGGCAGUUCACUGGACUGCAACUGACACUGAGGCUCGAAAGUGUGGGUAUCAAACAGGAUUAGAUACCCGUGUAGUC